Molecule: microRNA, 18 nt
Filed under: Solanum tuberosum (potato)
Lineage: Eukaryota; Viridiplantae; Streptophyta; Magnoliopsida; Solanales; Solanaceae
Description: stu-miR169a-3p
Gene: stu-miR169a-3p
Source: miRBase by way of RNAcentral
GCAGUCUCCUUGGCUACU